AGUAUCAAAAGACCAAACAAACAAAAACAUGAAUGAUGAAUGGGCGGUGGGCGAAGUGGAUGUAUGUGCAAGAAUGGUUUACAGGAAGGACACAUGGAGAUAAAACCGGUAGAGGUGCCAGAGGAAGAGCGGCAGGAGGAAAAACAACCAAGAACCCGGCCAAAGGUGAUCGCCAAGGCCGAAAGACAGGAUGGAAGACAACAGCCCCCGCACACACCGAAUCCCCCAUAAUCAGCACCCCCCCCAUGGAACCAGGUCUCACCGAACCAGCACCCACUCCCAUGAAAUCAAAAUCUGAAUGUUGCCUUUUUUCUGAAUGGAGACUGUGCUCUUGAGCAUGGUCGCACGAAAGGCCCAGCGCUGUAUUGUACUUUCCUGAAAACAGAGCUUUCUUAAGAAGAAUUGAACUCACGCUAAUUUCUGCUUCAGUGUCUUAGCAUUUUCCUAAAUCUGAAGAAAUCAAACGAGCACGCAGUGAGUAAAUCGGAUAACGGGAUGGGCAAUGGCUUUUGCCGUGAGGCGCAGAUAGCGCCCUCCCUAAAUUGUGGACCAAAUCCAACACUUGCAAUAUUUCAGUUGAUUUGUAAUGAAUCCAGAUUGUAUGACAUUUUUGUUUUUUUUAAUUACAUUACAGAAAAUAAAGAACUUUAUCACAAUAUUAUAAUUUUCUGAGACAGUCCUAUAUGUAUGAAUAAAUUACUAUCCUGUGAGAUGGAUUAGACAAAUAUUUUAUGGUGGACAUUUUAUUAUCUAAAACAGACAAUUAAAAAAGUACCAACUUCAA
Molecule: long non-coding RNA, 784 nt
Organism: Syngnathus typhle (broad-nosed pipefish)
Lineage: Eukaryota; Metazoa; Chordata; Actinopteri; Syngnathiformes; Syngnathidae
Exons: 2
Source: RefSeq, a predicted model, not a curated record